This 497-nucleotide ribosomal RNA is filed under the name Escherichia coli. RNAcentral's name for it is "partial 23S ribosomal RNA". It matches the Rfam family "Bacterial large subunit ribosomal RNA", at positions 1237 to 1735 of the family's 2925-position model. The record is from RNAcentral. Lineage: Bacteria; Pseudomonadati; Pseudomonadota; Gammaproteobacteria; Enterobacterales; Enterobacteriaceae.
CGUUCUGUAAGCCUGUGAAGGUGUGCUGUGAGGCAUGCUGGAGGUAUCAGAAGUGCGAAUGCUGACAUAAGUAACGAUAAAGCGGGUGAAAAGCCCGCUCGCCGGAAGACCAAGGGUUCCUGUCCAACGUUAAUCGGGGCAGGGUGAGUCGACCCCUAAGGCGAGGCCGAAAGGCGUAGUCGAUGGGAAACAGGUUAAUAUUCCUGUACUUGGUGUUACUGCGAAGGGGGGACGGAGAAGGCUAUGUUGGCCGGGCGACGGUUGUCCCGGUUUAAGCGUGUAGGCUGGUUUUCCAGGCAAAUCCGGAAAAUCAAGGCUGAGGCGUGAUGACGAGGCACUACGGUGCUGAAGCAACAAAUGCCCUGCUUCCAGGAAAAGCCUCUAAGCAUCAGGUAACAUCAAAUCGUACCCCAAACCGACACAGGUGGUCAGGUAGAGAAUACCAAGGCGCUUGAGAGAACUCGGGUGAAGGAACUAGGCAAAAUGGUGCCGUAACU